GAUUUAUUGUAUGCUGUUCCAGUUUGACUGCUAGGAGGGUAAACCUAUUCGUAUGGUUUCCUAUUCAACUGUCUACAGCAUUCAUAUGCUUGGGAGAAUUUAUUUGUUUCUCCGAUUCGGUGAUUGUGGUGUCUGCCAGAGUGCUUGGAGUCCUCAGGAAGUGCUAGGAGCAUCCUUCAAUGGAGGUACCCAGUCGGGGUGCCAGGC
RNAcentral lists this long non-coding RNA (207 nucleotides) under Pelobates cultripes (western spadefoot toad). Lineage: Eukaryota; Metazoa; Chordata; Amphibia; Anura; Pelobatidae. The record is from RNAcentral.